GGUGUGUGGUUGACCACACUGUGGACGGAGCGCAGUAUUACAGACAGAGCCUCGUUGACAAAGAUGAAAACCACUGAAAUCUGAGGAAGAUCUUCUGGAUAUGUCAGCUGCUUGCACCUGUGCUCUGUUGAACUGGGACAUCAGACAAGCAACUGUAGGAUGUGUGAGGAAAGGCGACCCACCAGGUGGAUCCCAGCAUGGAUCCGAUUUGUACCUGUCUUAACCGGUGGGGAAGUCUUGUAAGGCUGUAACAGGAGUGAUUGACUCAUCUGCUGAGACAGGUCUGAGCUCAACGGCCAGCAGUCAUAAUUUGACCAAGUACAGGCUUUGACAGAAACAGAACGCUAGAUUAAGAUGUAUUUCCAAGAUACCUCCCCCAUCUCCACCUGUGCCAGCUUGCAGUCCCAGCUGCUGGCUUUGGCGUUUUCCCCAGAUCGAAACGAAAGUUGUACAUGCUGUGGAUUUCAACUAAAGCAAUGCAACCGUCAUGGUUUUACCGCUCAAAAUAUAUAUUCCCUCAAAGACUGUUUACGUAACCCUCCCUAAAAUCCACUCAGGUGGUACCUAUUACUGUA
Corythoichthys intestinalis (scribbled pipefish) is the source of this 575-nucleotide long non-coding RNA. RefSeq lists it as uncharacterized. The record is from RefSeq and is a predicted model, not a curated record. NCBI's taxonomy places the organism in Eukaryota, Metazoa, Chordata, Actinopteri, Syngnathiformes, Syngnathidae. The transcript has 3 exons.